Molecule: ribosomal RNA, 253 nt
Filed under: uncultured bacterium
Lineage: Bacteria
Description: partial 16S ribosomal RNA
Rfam family: Bacterial small subunit ribosomal RNA
Source: RNAcentral
UACGAAGGGGACUAGCGUUGUUCGGAAUUACUGGGCGUAAAGCGCACGUAGGCGGAUUGGUAAGUCAGGGGGGAAAUCCCGGGGCUCAACCUCGGAACUGCCUUUGAUACUGCAAAUCUCGAGUCCGAUAGAGGUGGGUGGAAUUCCUAGUGUAGAGGUGAAAUUCGUAGAUAUUAGGAAGACCACCGGUGGCGAAGGCGGCCCACUGGAUCGGUACGUACGCUGAGGUGCGAAAGGGUGGGGAGCAAACAGG